UUUCUUUGCCUCUCACCCACCACCUUCCUCCUUUCUCUGCCAUGGCAGAAAAAAGUUUUGGCAUUUUUCUCCAUUUUAACAAACGCUUGACCUUCAUAUCACAAGGCAGAGAUCAUAUAUCCAUUCCAAGAAAACCUUUGUGAGGGUAAAAACAAAACGAUUCAGGGAUGGCUGACAAAGCGAUUCAAAUUUAUUUCUUGUUUCCAUUAUAGAAUAAGGCAAGGUAAAAGGUUUACAUUUUUACUUGAUGCAUUUUCACCAUAUUCGGCAUCAAGACCUCUGUCCCCUCGAUUUUCUCUUCCAUGUUGCCUCAGAUCUACCAAAGAAGCCAUUUUGAAACCCAAGAAUUGAGCUUAAAUCUUGCCCAAAACGUCCUAGAACCCUAAUCCUAUUCUAUAAAUAAAAAGUUUUUGGGGGGCCGCCACUUCUCUCUUUGAAAGCAUUAUCUUCUCAUCAUUUUUUCUCAAGGCACUUAGUAUUCAUUUCCUUCUUAUCUCGGAUCUGAGCAUCAUUCGUUUUCGAGGGUGAGUCGGAGAUCCAAAGCCCCUGCACCUCAAAAGACCUGCGAGCUCGAGAAGUAGACGUUGGACAUUAGAUAGAGUUCAAGGUAGACAGGGAGGUGAGCUUGAUCCAGAUUCUUAGUAGCUGUCAGCUGAUUGAGAGCACUCCAUUGUUCGGAGGUGCUUAUGUUUAUUCUUUUGGGUCCUUUAUGUAUUUCGCGCACGACGGAGUCUUGUUCCGUCUAUAUGUAAAAUAUGUUAGUAAAGGCUCGUAGACGCGUAGUGUGGGUUAGAUGGUCUCACAAGAUUACUAUGUUAUAUUUGUAUAUGUUAUUUUGAUGGCCUAAGGGGCACAUGUAUAUAUAAUCAUUUGUGUUGUCAAAUGAAAAAUGGUUGUCUUAUGAUUAUGAGAUUAUGAAUGAUAAAGAAAUGCAAAAUGGUUAUGACGA
Lycium barbarum (goji berry) is the source of this 949-nucleotide long non-coding RNA. RefSeq lists it as uncharacterized. NCBI's taxonomy places the organism in Eukaryota, Viridiplantae, Streptophyta, Magnoliopsida, Solanales, Solanaceae. The transcript has 3 exons. The record is from RefSeq and is a predicted model, not a curated record.